GAUGAAGAACGUAGCGAAAUGCGAUACGUAAUGUGAAAUGCAGAAUUCAGUGAAUCAUCGAAUCUUUGAACGCAUAUUGCGCUCUUUGGUAUUCCGAAGAGCAUGCUUGUUUGAGUAUCAGUAAACACCUCAAAGCUUUUGGAUUUUUUAAUCGAAAAGCUUUGGACUUGAGCAAUCCCAACACCAAUCUUUUUGAGAUCGGUGGCGGGUUGCUUGAAAUGCAGGUGCAGCUGGACAUUCUCCUGAGCUAAAAGCAUAUUCAUUUAGUCCCGUCAAACGGAUUAUUACUUUUGCUGCAGCUAACAUAAAGGGAGUUUGACCGUAUUGGCUGACUGAUGCAGGAUUUCACAAGGGUCGGCAACGAUUCUUGUUAAACUCGAUCUCAAAUCAAGUAAGACUACCCGCUGAACUUAAGCAUAUCAAUAAGCGGAGGA
RNAcentral lists this unclassified non-coding RNA (434 nucleotides) under soil metagenome. RNAcentral describes it as "partial contains 5.8S ribosomal RNA, internal transcribed spacer 2, and large subunit ribosomal RNA". The stretch from base 1 to 120 matches the Rfam family "5.8S ribosomal RNA", at positions 35 to 154 of the family's 154-position model. The record is from RNAcentral.